UCAAGUUCAAAGUAGAUGGGGUUUGGAAUUUGCUGAGGCUUCCAUAUACCCUUGUAGCUGGGGUUGUCGAUAAGUGGAGCAUGCCAUUUACCUUUGUAUGCUGGGUUACUCUUCAUUGGCUUCUUCCACUCACCACAGCCAGGAGCCUCCUCACACUUAGGGUUAUCAAUCUUUGGAGCCUCCCAUUCACCAUCCUCCUCAUCAUCCCAAUCUUCAGGUUUGGAUGCCUCGGGAUCUUCAAUUUCCUCAGGCUCAUCAUCCAACCAUCCUUCAGGUUUUGUAGCUUCCUCAUCUUCAAUUUCCAUAGGUGCAUCCUCGUCCCAAUCAUCUGGUUUUGUGGCAUCUGGAUCUGGAAUCUUAGCUCUCUCAUCCCAAUCCUCAGGCUUCUUAUCAUCUGGAUCAGGGAUAGUCUUGGCUGGAAUUAGUGCUGGCUCAAAGUCAUCAGCUGAUAGAAUGUUGACCUUUUUCUUUUCUUCUCCAUCAACCAAGAUCCUUAUCUCGUUAUCAGGCUUCAAAAUGGCAGUGUACACAUGGGUCAAUUUGUCUGAUGGCACUGAUGGUGGGUUCUUGACAUGAUGCUCAACAUACUCUCCACUCUUUGGGUUUUUAUGUUUUAGAAUAAAGUGGACUUUGUUUGUAGCCCCACAUUUAUCAGGUCCAAACAUUAUUGAGUAUGGAGAUUCAUUGUCAAAUCCCUUCGGCACCCACCCAGCUUCCUGGGGUCGGAGAUAUUUGAGAUACGCACCACCACACUCAAGGCCAUUUUGAAGACGUGUCUCAAAUUGGAGAACAACAGUUCCGUCCUUGAGAUUUACAGGUUCCUCAAGCUCCUUCACAAUUGCAUACUUCCUGGCCGGCUCACUCACGAGAAGCCCAU
RNAcentral lists this long non-coding RNA (877 nucleotides) under Daucus carota (carrot). RNAcentral's name for it is "long non-coding RNA (DCAR_LNC003307)". The record is from RNAcentral. Lineage: Eukaryota; Viridiplantae; Streptophyta; Magnoliopsida; Apiales; Apiaceae.